RNAcentral lists this ribosomal RNA (253 nucleotides) under uncultured prokaryote. RNAcentral's name for it is "partial 16S ribosomal RNA". It matches the Rfam family "Bacterial small subunit ribosomal RNA", at positions 525 to 777 of the family's 1533-position model. The record is from RNAcentral.
ACGAAGGGGGCUAGCGUUGCUCGGAAUUACUGGGCGUAAAGCGCGCGUAGGCGGCUUUGCAAGUCGGGUGUGGAAUCCCCAGGCUUAACCUGGGAACUGCAUUCGAGACUGCAUUGCUAGAGUAUGGGAGAGGGAAGUGGAAUUUCCGGUGUAGCGGUGAAAUGCGUAGAUAUCUGGAGGAACACCGGUGGCGAAGGCGACGUCCUGGACCGGCAUUGACGCUGAGGCGCGAAAGCCAGGGGAGCAAACGGGA